GCCAAAUAUGGAGAGUACGAUAGAUGCAGCAGAAGUUCAUUGCCUAAAUCGAUCAGUUUAGCCGUGGCAACAGCGUAGGUGUGAGCCGAUUUUCAUUUUUUUGCUGGCAUCAACGUUUGGUGGUACGAGCCGGGCGCAUGUGGCGACAAGCCGCGUAAUUGAAGAUGUGACGAAAAUGAGCGACCAAUUGGGCAACACCGGCAACACUCUACUCCACCCUCCUAAGUACCUGGUAGAAGAGCAGCAAUUUGUAC
Long non-coding RNA from Bactrocera latifrons, 254 nucleotides. RefSeq lists it as uncharacterized. The record is from RefSeq and is a predicted model, not a curated record. Lineage: Eukaryota; Metazoa; Arthropoda; Insecta; Diptera; Tephritidae. The transcript is spliced from 3 exons.